GCCUUUGAUUUGUCUCUAAUGGAUUGAUGGAUUUCAUUUUCAAUAUUUUUUUCUGUGCUAGCUGUACUAAUGCAAACAUGGCGUGAAGAUCUAUAAUAAGUUGCUUAAUGGGAUUUGACUGUUCAUGGAAUGUGAGAAAUGAUGAUUAAACAGAGUAGGAAGAAGAUGGUUAAGAGCUGUUAUUAACAGAGUAGGAAGAAGAUGGUUAAGAGCUGUUAUUGCAGCCUCUUUCUGAUCUCAUACAAGCUCAAGUGAAGUUAAAGACUGAUUACAAACCACAACAAACAGAAGGAACAUAAAGUAGUUAUUAUGGAAAAACGUCUCUUUUCAAUGAAGCAGGUCUACAGAACUUGAGAUGGAUUGGUUUGAUGAUUCUGCUCUGAGAUGGGAUGUGUUGCAGGAGACCUCUUUGAGAUCUAUUAAAGCACUGACAGUGAAAGGACUACUAAUUUGGAGGUCAGUAAGCAUUUGUCGAAGAUCAGAAACUUCUUCUUUGAGCCGGGCAUUUUCUUGGAGAACUCGGUCAUGGCACUCGGACACAUGAUUCAACUUGUCUAUCAGAUUAUGGUUCUCAGUUCGAAGACGAACCACCUGAGACCAUAGCUCAUCUAGGUGCUUUUGUUUCCUCAUCCGCGACCUGCGAGCAGACUCCCUAUUGGAAAUCAUUCUCCGCUGCUUCCUUUCGUCAAUGAUGCUGAGUUGGUUUUCAUCAGCUUCAUCAGAAGUUGAGUUGUUGCUGAGACUUGAUGACUGAGGGGCGAAUUCAUGGACAGGUUGAGGGAAGGUAGGGUUGUGAAAGUUGCUUAAGAUUCUGUCAAAAUGGAAGGUUGGUAUGUUGCUCUGCUGUAUCAGGCCAAGGUUAGCUGCGAAUGGAAUUGGGCUUUCAGCUGCCAGAUAGUGAAUACCUGUGAGCUCACCUGGAAGCAUGGCUGAAAUCCUUGAUAUGAUACUUGAAGGAUUUUGUUUUGGAUUCACCUGAUUGUGGUAGGGGAGAAUGGCAAGAGGAGUGGAGGGGUUUUAUAGAGGAAAAAAAAAGGCUAAUGAAGUGGGCCGAUUUCAUCAACAAGAUUAACAGUAUCGGAAAUGCUUACAUGAG
RNAcentral lists this unclassified non-coding RNA (1096 nucleotides) under Hevea brasiliensis (rubber tree). The record is from RNAcentral. Lineage: Eukaryota; Viridiplantae; Streptophyta; Magnoliopsida; Malpighiales; Euphorbiaceae.